Papaver somniferum (opium poppy) is the source of this 790-nucleotide long non-coding RNA. RefSeq lists it as uncharacterized. The transcript has 4 exons. NCBI's taxonomy places the organism in Eukaryota, Viridiplantae, Streptophyta, Magnoliopsida, Ranunculales, Papaveraceae. The record is from RefSeq and is a predicted model, not a curated record.
GAAGAAGAAGAAGAAGAAGAAGAAGAAGAAGAAGAAGAAGAAGAAGAAGAAGAAGAAGAAGAAGAAGAAGAAGAAGGAGGAGAAAAUGUUGCUGGCAUUUCUCUUCUCCAACUCUGAAGAGUGAAGGAAAUAUCCUUGUUGAACGUUUUCAUGGGGUUCCAGCUGAAGAGUAAUUACAUUGGAGGUCAUUCUUGGUCAACUUAGGAGCAGAUAAUCUCAUAGGUGCCAAAAAUGAAGAGCUAUUUGUUGCUACUUGCUUCUCACAAGUCCGUUUACACUGUGUACUCCGUGCUUGGAGAUGUAUGCAUCUACAUCGUCGGCAAGGACGAGUAUGACGAACUUGCUUGAAUUGGUGGAAUUAUUAGGGAUGACCAAGGACUAUCUCUGGCUGGCUUUGCAAAACACGUCUAUAGGGAUGGAAACAAUAUGGAUGAAAUCCGAACCAUCCGUGAAGGUUUAAGUCUUGUGCUAAAGCUGGGAAAGAAGAAUGUUUAUGUUGAAAGUGAUUCCGCAUAUAUCAUCGGCAUGUGUAAAGGUUUGACUCCUUUCCCCUGGUUUUUUCGUAAUAUUUUGGCUGAUGUGAACUUGUUGGUAUCACAACUUGCUCAUGUAAUCUUUGUACACAAGUAUAGACAGGCUAGUGUAGCUGUAGAUGUGCUUGCUAAAAAGGCAGCUAAUGAAAAUUUAUGUAAUAAAUGGCUAAAUAGUCCUCCAUCUUUUUUGGUUGAUGUACUAAUGGAGGAUGGGGCUUUUCCCCGGUUUGUAAAGCCCUCUUAGUUUUUCUGCUGGA